Molecule: ribosomal RNA, 423 nt
Filed under: uncultured bacterium
Lineage: Bacteria
Description: bacterial SSU rRNA
Rfam family: Bacterial small subunit ribosomal RNA
Source: RNAcentral
AAGACCUUGCGCUUUUGGAGCAGCCGAUGCCUGAUUAGCUUGUUGGUAAGGUAAAAGCUUACCAAGGCUUCGAUCAGUAGCUGGUCUGAGAGGACGGCCAGCCACACUGGGACUGAGACACGGCCCAGACUCCUACGGGAGGCAGCAGUGGGGAAUUUUGGACAAUGGGGGCAACCCUGAUCCAGCCAUGCCGCGUGAGUGAAGAAGGCCUUCGGGUUGUAAAGCUCUUUCAGCCGGAACGAAACGGUUACGGUUAAUACCCGUGAUUACUGACGGUACCGGAAGAAGAAGCACCGGCUAACUACGUGCCAGCAGCCGCGGUAAUACGUAGGGUGCGAGCGUUAAUCGGAAUUACUGGGCGUAAAGCGUGCGCAGGUGGUUUUGUAAGUCAGAUGUGAAAGCCCCGGGCUCAACCUGGGAACU